RNAcentral lists this small RNA (506 nucleotides) under Pongo abelii (Sumatran orangutan). Its description in RNAcentral is "processed transcript". The record is from RNAcentral. Lineage: Eukaryota; Metazoa; Chordata; Mammalia; Primates; Hominidae.
GCGGCGCGAGUUCCCUGCUCACCCUCCCUCCCCGCGGAAGUCCCCACGAGGUGGCUUCAGGGUGUAACAGAGCGCGCGGCUCCUGUCCGAAGGCAGCGGCCGGGGGAGGGAAGGAGGGGACCGAAUCCCCGAGGAGUUUCCCAGAAUCAACUUCUGGUUAGAGUUAUGGGAAGCGCGGUUAUGGACACCAAGAAGAAAAAAGAUGUUUCCAGCCCCGGCGGGAGCGGCGGCAAGAAAAAUGCCAGCCAGAAGAGGCGUUCGCUGCGCGUGCACAUUCCGCACUCUCAACGCCCUGUGAGCGCCCACGGUUGGAUGGAGGGAGGGUCGCCCAGAUUCACCCCCAGCCGCCAUCCCUGUGGCCAGCACUGCCUCUUUCUCUCCCUCUUCUUCCACCUUAUCUUCCUGUCCAUUUUCCCCCUUUCCCUCCCCCAUAAUUGACCCCAAUGUGGAAUUGAGGGUCAUUUCAAAAUAUUUCUGAUACUGUUUGAAGAAAAUAAACUUUAUCU